GGACUAUUCUCUCUCAGAUUCUUUGCUCUAAAAUAGAUGAAACACUUGCUCUCCACUUUUUAAAGUAGCUCCACUGCCCUAGAAUGCAGUCUCCCAUGUAUUUUAAUAACUGAAUUUAACUCCAAAUAUUCCCUUAAAUUAGUUGCUCACUUUUAAAAUCAAUUCUCUCCUUGAAGGCUAACACUUCUUUCUUGGGAGACUAAGACACAGGAAAUACAGUGUCUCCAAGGAGGCAGCUAUUUGAUUUCACCAGGCUGGGGUGGUUGUGGGGGAAUGGGCAAUAAGGAAACAGGAGGGGGCAUCCAGCUGUGCACUUGGCUAUUCUUCACCCUUGGAAUUUAUAUAUGAUAUGGAGAUAAAUUGGACUUCCCUGGUGGUUCAAUGAGGCUGGAAGUCCAAGAUGAAGCUGUUGGCAGUGCUGAUUUCUUCUGAUGGCUGCCAGGGAGGAUCUGCUCCAUGUCUCUCCCCUAGCUUCUGCUGCUUUGCUGGCAAUCUCUGGAGUUCCCUGACUUCUGCUACAUCACCCCCAUCUCUGCCUUCAUCUUCACAUGGGAUUUGUUCUCCCUGUGCGCCUGUGUCCAAAUCUCCCCUUUUUGUAAGGACAAGUUGGAUUAGGGGGAUACCGAACUCCAGUAUGGCAUCAUCUUGACUUAAUUACAUCUGCAGGGAAGGACCCUGUUUCUAAAAAAGGUGACACUCCUGAAGGUAUUAGAACUUCAACAUGUAAAUCAGGGUGGGGGGCAAAUCCAAUAGACAACAGCUAGUAUUAUUACUGUUAACUUUAAUACUAUGCUCAGUUCAGUUACCAUAUAAAUAUAUCUAUCUUUCAAGUUGUUAUUUUGAAUUCAUUUCAGACAGAAAAAAAAAACUUCAAAAAUACUAUGUUGCCUUGUAACUAUUACCCAGCUUCUCCUAAUGUUAUCAUCCAUAAUC
Bos taurus (domestic cattle) is the source of this 933-nucleotide long non-coding RNA. The record is from Ensembl. Lineage: Eukaryota; Metazoa; Chordata; Mammalia; Artiodactyla; Bovidae.